This 253-nucleotide ribosomal RNA is filed under the name uncultured bacterium. RNAcentral's name for it is "partial 16S ribosomal RNA". It matches the Rfam family "Bacterial small subunit ribosomal RNA", at positions 524 to 776 of the family's 1533-position model. The record is from RNAcentral.
UACGUAGGUGGCAAGCGUUAUCCGGAUUUACUGGGUGUAAAGGGCGUGUAGGCGGGAAAGCAAGUCAGAUGUGAAAACCACGGGCUCAACCUGUGGCCUGCAUUUGAAACUGUUUUUCUUGAGUACUGGAGAGGCAGACGGAAUUCCUCGUGUAGCGGUGAAAUGCGUAGAUAUGAGGAGGAACACCAGUGGCGAAGGCGGUCUGCUGGACAGCAACUGACGCUGAGGCGCGAAAGCGAGGGGAGCAAACAGG